UGGGGAAUUUUGGACAAUGGGCGAAAGCCUGAUCCAGCAAUGCCGCGUGUGUGAAGAAGGCCUUCGGGUUGUAAAGCACUUUUGUCCGGAAAGAAAUGGCUCUGGUUAAUACCUGGGGUCGAUGACGGUACCGGAAGAAUAAGGACCGGCUAACUACGUGCCAGCAGCCGCGGUAAUACGUAGGGUCCAAGCGUUAAUCGGAAUUACUGGGCGUAAAGCGUGCGCAGGCGGUUGUGCAAGACCGAUGUGAAAUCCCCGAGCUUAACUUGGGAAUUGCAUUGGUGACUGCACGGCUAGAGUGUGUCAGAGGGGGGUAGAAUUCCACGUGUAGCAGUGAAAUGCGUAGAGAUGUGGAGGAAUACCGAUGGCGAAGGCAGCCCCCUGGGAUAACACUGACGCUCAUGCACGAAAGCGUGGGGAGCAAACAGGAUUAGAUACCCUGGUAGUCCACGCCCUAAACGAUGUGCAACUAGGUUGUUGGGGGAUUCAUUUCCUUAGUACGUAGCUAACGCGUGAAGUUGACCGCCUGGGGAGUACGGUCGCAAGA
This 547-nucleotide ribosomal RNA is filed under the name uncultured bacterium. RNAcentral's name for it is "partial 16S ribosomal RNA". It matches the Rfam family "Bacterial small subunit ribosomal RNA", at positions 355 to 893 of the family's 1533-position model. The record is from RNAcentral.